ACGUUGCACUUUACCUCAAGAAGUUCCCAGUCUGAGAAAUGCUACACUCCCCGCUGCCCUGUACUGGUGGCAAACCCAGUGGGGACACUCCAGAUGUCUUCAUCAGCUACCGCCGGAACUCAGGUUCCCAGCUGGCCAGGUGAGGAGGGGCGGGCGGGCAGCGAUGGGGCGUGGGGACAAGGCUGUGGCACUGACACAGGACUUACUUGCAGUCUCCUGAAGGUGCACCUGCAGCUGCAUGGCUUCAGUGUCUUCAUUGAUGUGGAGAAGCUGGAAGCAGGCAAGUUCGAGGACAAACUCAUCCAGAGUGUCAUGGGUGCCCGCAACUUUGUGUUGGUGCUAUCACCUGGAGCACUGGACAAGUGCAUGCAAGACCAUGACUGCAAGGAUUGGGUGCAUAAGGAGAUUGUGACUGCUUUAAGCUGCGGCAAGAACAUUGUGCCCAUCAUUGAUGGCUUCGAGUGGCCUGAGCCCCAGGUCCUGCCUGAGGACAUGCAGGCUGUGCUUACUUUCAACGGUAUCAAGUGGUCCCACGAAUACCAGGAGGCCACCAUUGAGAAGAUCAU
Molecule: small RNA, 566 nt
Filed under: Pan troglodytes (chimpanzee)
Lineage: Eukaryota; Metazoa; Chordata; Mammalia; Primates; Hominidae
Description: retained intron
Source: RNAcentral